Molecule: long non-coding RNA, 787 nt
Organism: Raphanus sativus (radish)
Lineage: Eukaryota; Viridiplantae; Streptophyta; Magnoliopsida; Brassicales; Brassicaceae
Exons: 3
Source: RefSeq, a predicted model, not a curated record
CUCUCACGGGAGACAUCCACGUCAGUAAUUCAAGUGUCCAGGAUGCGACACCUGUCCCAUCUAUCAAAAGCACUGCGUUUCAUUUAAUUGAUUUGGGCUUCGGUGGUUUGUAUACGGGCUUAAUGUAACCCAGACCGAAUUAAGAGCAACAAUGUAGUUAAACGCUAAACUCGAUCUAGGGUUUUGACAGCGUUCUUUUCAUCUUCUGUCUAAAAACUCUCAGGCAAUGGAUAUCUAACUCUCCCGAAACUAUAGUUGGUGUCUUUUUGGUUGUUGGUGUUUGCUUGACAAUUUGUGUCUGCUCGAUUUCUAUUCCGGCUACCUUCUCUGAGAAACCGUCAAAGUUUGAUAAUUCACUUCUCCGACUUGAAGGCCGGCCGCUGCAAGUGUGUCGUUCAGAACUGACUCCGGAGGUCAGUUGAUGGCCAUCGAUAUGCUCCUUCUUGAUGCCAAUGUAAAUUGCUUCAUAAGUUUAAUUCAUCUUCAUAUACGGCUUUAGAUUUCGAUUACUUUCAAAUUGAUAACCCGUGUUUUUGAAGAAAUGAAAUUUGGUUCUUAACUCCAUGAGCAUGUGAGUUAGCUAGGAGCAGCUACUGUCCAUGUCUGCACUUCUGAAGGUGAAACAGCUUCAGAUCCUUCACAAGGACACCCCAUAAUGGAAGUAGAAAUCAACCAGAGAACAAAAUUUCCGAGCUAUGUAUUAGGAUAGUGGUGAAGACAUUUACAUUGUCGUCUCCAGUUCCCAAACAAACAAAGGUUUGUAUUAUAUGCCAGACUUAUUGUCAUG